This 905-nucleotide small RNA is filed under the name Pongo abelii (Sumatran orangutan). Its description in RNAcentral is "retained intron". Lineage: Eukaryota; Metazoa; Chordata; Mammalia; Primates; Hominidae. The record is from RNAcentral.
CUUCAUAAUAGGGGCUAGAUGUGUGAAGCCUGGCUUUAAUUUUUGCUUAGUAGGAUCAAUGUCAUAUUUAUUUAUUGGACAUAACCUAGGUUUCACUCUUUGAACAUUAUUUUAAGGGAUAAAAAGUUACUUGAGAGUCAUGUGAGGAGUUGAGCUUGGAGAUAGCACCAUAAGCCAAACAUUUAUGCUAAUUUUAUGUAAAUUAUGUGCUAUGGUCCACGCCCUGCCCCCACAUGCGAUUAAAAACUUGAUUUUUAGUGUGCUAAAGCACAUGCUAAAACAGAUGCUAAAUUUUAAAAAGGCAAGGGUCUUUUAAAAUGCUUGAUGUCUGUGAGGUUGACAGGAGAAAUAUUAAAUAAAUAAAAAUACACACACUGUUUAAGGAUUCUGUGUUUUCUUUCUCAUAGGAACCACUCGUUUUGACUAUUAUUUUAUCACUCUUUGUGAAACUUCACAAUGUUCGGGAGGACAUUGUGAAUGAUAUUACAGCUGAACACAUUUCUAUUUGGCCAUCUUCCAUUCCCAAACAUCGCGUUGCUUUGUCGCCCAGGCUGGAGUGCAGUGGCGAGGUCUCAGCUUAUUGCAACCUACGCCUGCAAGGUCCAAGCGAUUCUCAUGCCUCAGCCUCCCAAGUAUCUGGGAUUACAGCCUCCAGUCUGUGGACUUUGAAGCUGUGGCAAUCACAGUGAAAGAGCUAGUUCGAUAUACACUCAGUAUAAAUCCAAAUAACCAUUCCUGGUUAAUUAUCCAGGCAGAUAUUUACUUUGCAACGAAUCAGUAUUCAGCAGCUCUUCACUAUUACCUCCAGGCAGGAGCUGUGUGUUCUGACUUCUUUAACAAGGCUGUGCCCCCUGAUGUUUAUACAGACCAGGUAAUAAAACGAAUGAUAAAAUGUUGUUCUUUGC